UAAUGCGCCUCCAUCGACACGGCGGAUGUGAAUCACUUCACACAAACAGCCGGUUCGGUUGAAGAGAAAAAUCCUGAAAUUCAGGGUUGACUCUGAAAGAGGAAAGCGUAAUAUACGCCACCUCGCGACAGUGCGCUAAAGCGCGUCGCAACUGCUCUUUAACAAUUUAUCAGACAAUCUGUGUGGGCACUCGAAGAUACGGAUUCUUAACGUCGCAAGACGAAAAAUGAAUACCAAGUCUCAAGAGUGAACACGUAAUUCAUUACGAAGUUUAAUUCUUUGAGCAUCAAACUUUUAAAUUGAAGAGUUUGAUCAUGGCUCAGAUUGAACGCUGGCGGCAGGCCUAACACAUGCAAGUCGAACGGUAACAGAAAGCAGCUUGCUGCUUUGCUGACGAGUGGCGGACGGG
This 409-nucleotide ribosomal RNA is filed under the name Escherichia coli 1-182-04_S4_C3. RNAcentral's name for it is "partial 23S ribosomal RNA". The stretch from base 297 to 409 matches the Rfam family "Bacterial small subunit ribosomal RNA", at positions 1 to 106 of the family's 1533-position model. The record is from RNAcentral. Lineage: Bacteria; Pseudomonadati; Pseudomonadota; Gammaproteobacteria; Enterobacterales; Enterobacteriaceae.